GUAGAUAUGUGUAGGUUUUACGUUAUAUUGACGGAUUCCUAAUCCGUAGGCCGUGCGUUCAAAUCGCGCCGGGGACACCA
RNAcentral lists this transfer RNA (80 nucleotides) under Magnetococcales bacterium. RNAcentral's name for it is "tRNA-Arg". It matches the Rfam family "tRNA". From Rfam's summary of the family: Transfer RNA (tRNA) molecules are approximately 80 nucleotides in length. Lineage: Bacteria; Pseudomonadati; Pseudomonadota; Magnetococcia; Magnetococcales. The record is from RNAcentral.